GCCCGCUUAGCUCAGAGGUUACAGCAUCACAUUUGUUAUGCGACGGUCAUCGGUUCAAUUUCGAUAGUCGGCU
Molecule: transfer RNA, 73 nt
Filed under: Cucumis melo (muskmelon)
Lineage: Eukaryota; Viridiplantae; Streptophyta; Magnoliopsida; Cucurbitales; Cucurbitaceae
Also listed under: 1 other name
Rfam family: tRNA
About the family: Transfer RNA (tRNA) molecules are approximately 80 nucleotides in length.
Source: Rfam by way of RNAcentral